GCCAAGUGUGGUGGUGCACGCCUGUAAUUCCAACUACUUGGGAGGCUGAAGCAGGAGGAUCACAAGUUCAAGGCUGGCUUGAGCAACUUAGUGAGACCCUGUCUCAA
Molecule: small RNA, 107 nt
Filed under: Marmota monax (woodchuck)
Lineage: Eukaryota; Metazoa; Chordata; Mammalia; Rodentia; Sciuridae
Source: RNAcentral